RNAcentral lists this RNase P RNA (417 nucleotides) under Bacteroidota bacterium. RNAcentral's name for it is "RNase P RNA component class A". It matches the Rfam family "Bacterial RNase P class A". Rfam says of the family: Ribonuclease P (RNase P) is a ubiquitous endoribonuclease, found in archaea, bacteria and eukarya as well as chloroplasts and mitochondria. Its best characterised activity is the generation of mature 5'-ends of tRNAs by cleaving the 5'-leader elements of precursor-tRNAs. Cellular RNase Ps are ribonucleoproteins. The record is from RNAcentral. Lineage: Bacteria; Pseudomonadati; Bacteroidota.
GCUGCAAGCUGCGCUAUCGUUCCGUUUUUAGCGGGAAGGAAAGUCCGGACAGCAAAGAGCAACGCAUCCCGCUAACAGCGGGACUUCUUUGAAAAAAGAACGAGAUAGUGCCACAGAAAAUAACGGCUUCCAUUUUGCCCAGGCAAAAUUUAUCCAGCAAUGGAGAGCAAUGUUGAAAACGUGGGGUAAGAGCCCACGGCGGUUAAAUGGUAACAUUAACUUCGGGUAAACCUUGCGUGCUGAAAUGCCAAAUAUAUCCUGCCUUUUGGGCUGCUCGUUCAAGUUUUGUGAAAACAGGCGGCAGGUGUGGGUAGGCAGAUAGAGGUAGUCAGCAAUGGCUAUCCCAGAUAAAUGAUAGCGGCUCCUAAUGCUUAGCAUGAAGGAGUACAGAAUCCGGCUUACAGGCUUGCAGUAUUU